Molecule: long non-coding RNA, 1231 nt
Organism: Protopterus annectens (West African lungfish)
Lineage: Eukaryota; Metazoa; Chordata; Ceratodontiformes; Protopteridae
Exons: 4
Source: RefSeq, a predicted model, not a curated record
AUUAAAACAGUGAAAUCAAUGGGUUUAGACUACCGAUUGUUUCUGGAGAUCACACAGCACUUUGUUUACCCUGAAAAAAGGCCAGAAUGUAGACACGUCUCUGUAGCUGUCCGGCAAAAUAAGUGGGAUACAAAUGAAAAGUGCCCGAAGGACAUAUUACACACAGAUAUCCAUAUGAGGAGUUUUGUGCAUAUACUUUGUUACAACACAAACGGAGGCCAGCAACCCUCAGUAACGGGAAAAACACCUUUAUAUACAGUAAUCUACUUGGAAAUUGUUCCAGUUUGGGGUAAAGAGGUUACUGCUACUUCUGACACAAAUGUAAUUCUGUGCUGUGGAAGUGAAUAAACAUAAACAAAAGCCAGAUUGACCCUUAAGAUACUGACCUGCAGUAUGGUGCUUGAUGUGAGGAAGCAUUGUAGUGUCUAGCCAUCGACUGAAGACACCAGAAUAUACACACCAUCAGUUACAUUGCAUAUACUAUGUGGGUAACACGGUUUUUACCAUAGUUUAAUAAUGUAUCUGUCUAGUGUAAUGAUAUGUAUAUAGCAGUGCAGAAGGCAGUGCCUGAACUGUGAAAUGAUGUUCUGCCAAUAAAACAUAGACCAUAUUCCCAAUGUUCAAUAGGUCUAUCUACAUCAUAGUUUCAUAGAAAAUGUUAUGUAUAUAGGCUAUACGAGCAUAAUGGUAGUACAGAAUACUGUUAUCACAGCCAUGUUUACGUUGGAGCAAUCUUCUACACCUGUACUUUAUGUAAUAACGAUAUUACUAUAUAGUAUGGAAUGCUUGCAUUUUUUUAUUUUAACUCAUACACUAAAAUGCAAUGGUGUUGAAAAGUACAGGAGAAGAAUAUCUCACUCCAAAUGACAUUGGAACUGUGUAUCACAUUGUAAUAAAACAAAGAAACAACGAAUUAUUAAACAUUGAUGGAUAUCUGUAAUGCCAUGGAAAACAAGCAGAUAUGAAAAGUUAGUGGAGUUGCAGACAAAAACUUCAAGAGAAAUAUAAAGGCCAAGCUGUUACCUUAUAUGCAGGUAAUGAGCAGCAAAUGGUAAGGAACACACCACACAUGCCACUGCAGAUCCUACACAGAACACACAGCACAUGCACAUUACAGAUCCUACACAGGUAGAACACACCGCACAUGCCACUGCAGAUCCUACACAGAACACACAGCACAUGCACAUUACAGAUCCUACACAGGUAGAACACACCGCACAUGCACACUGCA